RNAcentral lists this ribosomal RNA (409 nucleotides) under Pseudomonas sp. RNAcentral describes it as "bacterial SSU rRNA". It matches the Rfam family "Bacterial small subunit ribosomal RNA", at positions 157 to 561 of the family's 1533-position model. The record is from RNAcentral. Lineage: Bacteria; Pseudomonadati; Pseudomonadota; Gammaproteobacteria; Pseudomonadales; Pseudomonadaceae.
CGGACGCUAAUACCGCAUACGUCCUACGGGAGAAAGCAGGGGACCUUCGGGCCUUGCGCUAUCAGAUGAGCCUAGGUCGGAUUAGCUAGUUGGUGAGGUAAUGGCUCACCAAGGCGACGAUCCGUAACUGGUCUGAGAGGAUGAUCAGUCACACUGGAACUGAGACACGGUCCAGACUCCUACGGGAGGCAGCAGUGGGGAAUAUUGGACAAUGGGCGAAAGCCUGAUCCAGCCAUGCCGCGUGUGUGAAGAAGGUCUUCGGAUUGUAAAGCACUUUAAGUUGGGAGGAAGGGCAUUAACCUAAUACGUUAGUGUUUUGACGUUACCGACAGAAUAAGCACCGGCUAACUCUGUGCCAGCAGCCGCGGUAAUACAGAGGGUGCAAGCGUUAAUCGGAAUUACUGGGCGU